This 677-nucleotide long non-coding RNA is filed under the name Homo sapiens (human). Its description in RNAcentral is "non-protein coding lnc-LRRC58-5:3". The record is from RNAcentral. Lineage: Eukaryota; Metazoa; Chordata; Mammalia; Primates; Hominidae.
CUCCGCUUACAGCUCGCUGCCGCCGUCCUGCCCCGCGCCCCCAGGAGACCUGGACCAGACCACGAUGUGGAAACGCUGGCUCGCGCUCGCGCUCGCGCUGGUGGCGGUCGCCUGGGUCCGCGCCGAGGCAUUCAUCAAAUAGCAUUUUGAUGGGUUUAAAUCAUUUUCCUUGGCCAUUACUGAAGAAGACUGGAGGAUUUAUACUCUCUACAUUGGCCUUCAAAGUGGACAAGUCUUAGGUAGACAAUUGGAGAGGAGAAAAUAAGAACCAUAUUCAAACCUAACAAGCUAAUUCAGGGCAGAUAAAUGGUCUGUAUUAGAAACUUCCACUUGGACUUUCCUAAGAAACCGAAGGGUGAAAUUAUGAAACUAGUGGCAGCCUUACAAAAACAUUUUUUAGGAAGAGUGACAAGAUAUCUUGGGAACUCCUAAGAAUCACUCUGAGGAGUGUUGCUUUCAUAAUGGGGAGCCCGAAAGACCCUGUCAGUAGCAGUGGAGUCACUGGGUGUUCCUGUGUUGAGAAGGCGGUGUGGUAUGUCACAGGGGAGACUCUCCAACUCGUCACUGUGGACCAUGAGAACAGAAGCACCUCUCUCAAGUACCGGAGUUGGAGCCACCUGGGUCUGACUCUUACCUCAGUCAUGGCCCAGCUCUUGAAGUCACAGUCUCCUCAGUGC